RNAcentral lists this ribosomal RNA (406 nucleotides) under uncultured bacterium. RNAcentral describes it as "partial 16S ribosomal RNA". It matches the Rfam family "Bacterial small subunit ribosomal RNA", at positions 30 to 526 of the family's 1533-position model. The record is from RNAcentral.
AUUGAACGCUGGCGGCAGGCUUAACACAUGCAAGUCGAGCGAGCGGCGGACGGGUGAGUAAUGUCUGGGAAACUGCCUGAUGGAGGGGGAUAACUACUGGAAACGGUAGCUAAUACCGCAUACCAUCAGAUGUGCCCAGAGUGGCUUAGCUAGUAGGUGGGGUAAUCGCUCACCUGGGCGACGAUCCCUAGCUGGUCUAAGAGGAUGACCGGUCACACUGGAACUGAGACACGGUCCAGAGUCCGACGGGAGUGGACAGUGGGGAAUAUUGCACAAUUGGCGCAAUCCUGAUACAGACAUGCCGCGUGUGUGAAGAAGGCCUUCGGGUUGUGAAGCACUUUCAGCGAGGAGGCGUGACUCGCAGAAGAAGCACCGGCUAACUCCGUGCCAGCAGCCGCGGUAAUAC